GACAGAGGUGGCAAGCGUUGUUCGGAAUCACUGGGCUUAAAGGGCGUGCAGGCGGUGAGGUAAGUCUAUGGUGGAAUCCUUUGGCUUAACCAGAGAAUUGCCGUGGAAACUGCUUCACUUGAGUGAGCGAGGGGAGAGUAGAAUUCCCGGUGUAGCGGUGAAAUGCGUAGAGAUCGGGAGGAAGGCCUGUGGCGAAAGCGGCUCUCUGGCGCUCAACUGACGCUGAGGCGCGAAAGCGUGGGGAACAAACAGG
Molecule: ribosomal RNA, 253 nt
Filed under: uncultured bacterium
Lineage: Bacteria
Description: partial 16S ribosomal RNA
Rfam family: Bacterial small subunit ribosomal RNA
Source: RNAcentral